This 239-nucleotide ribosomal RNA is filed under the name uncultured bacterium. RNAcentral describes it as "partial 16S ribosomal RNA". It matches the Rfam family "Bacterial small subunit ribosomal RNA", at positions 524 to 761 of the family's 1533-position model. The record is from RNAcentral.
UACGAAGGGGGCUAGCGUUGCUCGGAAUCACUGGGCGUAAAGCGCACGUAGGCGGGUCUUAAGUCGGAGGUGAAAUCCUGGAGCUCAACUCCAGAACUGCCUUCGAUACUGAGGAUCUCGGUACGGUCGGAGAGGUGAGUGGAACUGCGAGUGUAGAGGUGAAAUUCGUAGAUAUUCGCAAGAACACCAGUGGCGAAGGCGGCUCACUGGCCCGGUACUGACGCUGAGGUGCGAAAGCG